UGGGGGAAUUUUGGACAAUGGGCGAAAGCCUGAUCCAGCAAUGCCGCGUGUGUGAAGAAGGCCUUCGGGUUGUAAAGCACUUUUGUCCGGAAAGAAAUCCUUGGCUCUAAUACAGUCGGGGGAUGACGGUCCGGGAAGAAUAAGCACCGGCUAACUACGUGCCAGCAGCCGCGGUAAUACGUAGGGUGCAAGCGUUAAUCGGAAUUACUGGGCGUAAAGCGUGCGCAGGCGGUUUGCUAAGACCGAUGUGAAAUCCCCGGGGCUCAACCUGGGAACUGCAUUGGUGACUGGCAGGCUAGAGUAUGGCAGAGGGGGGUAGAAUUCCACGUGUAGCAGUCGAAAUGCGUAGAGAUGUGGAGGAAUACCGAUGGCGAAGGCAGCCCCCUGGGCCAAAUACUGACGCUCAUGCACGAAAAGCGUGGGGGAGCAAACAGGUUAGAUACCCUGGGUAGUCCACGCCCUAAACGAUGUCAACUAGUUGUUGGGGAUUCAUUUCCUUAGUAAC
This 505-nucleotide ribosomal RNA is filed under the name uncultured bacterium. RNAcentral's name for it is "partial 16S ribosomal RNA". It matches the Rfam family "Bacterial small subunit ribosomal RNA", at positions 354 to 847 of the family's 1533-position model. The record is from RNAcentral.